This 329-nucleotide unclassified non-coding RNA is filed under the name soil metagenome. RNAcentral describes it as "partial contains 5.8S ribosomal RNA, internal transcribed spacer 2, and large subunit ribosomal RNA". The stretch from base 1 to 120 matches the Rfam family "5.8S ribosomal RNA", at positions 35 to 154 of the family's 154-position model. The record is from RNAcentral.
GAUGAAGAACGUAGCGAAAUGCGAUAAGUAGUGUGAAUUGCAGAAUUCAGUGAAUCAUCGAAUCUUUGAACGCACAUUGCGCCCCUUGGUAUCCCGAGGGGCAUGCCUGUUCGAGCGUCAUUUCACCACUCAAGCCUGGCUUGGUGUUGGGCGACGUCCUCUUUGGGGACGUGCCUCGAAACGCUCGGCGGCGUGGCACCGGCUUUAAGCGUAGCAGAAUCUUUCGCUUUGGAAGUCGGGGCCCCGUCUGCCGGAAGACCUGCUCGCAAGGUUGACCUCGGAUCAGGCAGGGAUACCCGCUGAACUUAAGCAUAUCAAUAAGCGGAGGA